CCUACGGGAGGCAGCAGUGAGGAAUAUUGGUCAAUGGACGAGAGUCUGAACCAGCCAAGUAGCGUGAAGGAUGACUGCCCUAUGGGUUGUAAACUUCUUUUAUAUGGGAAUAAAAUGUUCCACGUGUGGGAUUUUGUAUGUACCAUAUGAAUAAGGAUCGGCUAACUCCGGGCCAGCAGCCGCGGUAAUACGGAGGAUCCGAGCGUUAUCCGGAUUUAUUGGGUUUAAAGGGAGCGUAGGUGGAUUGUUAAGUCAGUUGUGAAAGUUUGCGGCUCAACCUUAAAAUUGCAGUUGAAACUGGCAGUCUUGAGUACAGUAGAGGUGAGCGGAAUUCGUGGUGUAGCGGUGAAAUGCUUAGAUAUCACGAAGAACUCCGAUUGCGAAGGCAGUUCACUGGACUGCAACUGACACUGAGGCUCGAAAGUGUGGGUAUCAAACAGGAUUAGAUACCCGAGUAGUC
This 460-nucleotide ribosomal RNA is filed under the name uncultured bacterium. Its description in RNAcentral is "partial 16S ribosomal RNA". It matches the Rfam family "Bacterial small subunit ribosomal RNA", at positions 338 to 795 of the family's 1533-position model. The record is from RNAcentral.